Molecule: ribosomal RNA, 421 nt
Filed under: uncultured bacterium
Lineage: Bacteria
Description: bacterial SSU rRNA
Rfam family: Bacterial small subunit ribosomal RNA
Source: RNAcentral
UCUUCCACAAUGGACGCAAGUCUGAUGGAGCAACGCCGCGUGAGUGAAGAAGGUUUUCGGAUCGUAAAGCUCUGUUGUUGGUGAAGAAGGAUAGAGGUAGUAACUGGCCUUUAUUUGACGUUAAUCAACCAGAGAGUCACGGCUAACUACGUGCCAGCAGCCGCGGUAAUACGUAGGUGGCAAGCGUUGUCCGGAUUUAUUGGGCGUAAAGCGAGCGCAGGCGGAAGAAUAAGUCUGAUGUGAAAGCCCUGGGCUUAACCGAGGAAUUGCAUCGGAAACUGUUUGGCUUGAGUGCAGAAGAGGAGAGUGGAACUCCAGGUGUAGCGGUGAAAUGCGUAGAUAUAUGGAAGAACACCAGUGGCGAAGGCGGCUCUCUGGUCUGCAACUGACGCUGAGGCUCGAAAGCAUGGGUAGCGAACAG